ACGUGAACCUGCGGAAUGAUCAUUG
This 25-nucleotide ribosomal RNA is filed under the name Trebouxia sp. P-104-IIa. Its description in RNAcentral is "partial 18S ribosomal RNA". Lineage: Eukaryota; Viridiplantae; Chlorophyta; Trebouxiophyceae; Trebouxiales; Trebouxiaceae. The record is from RNAcentral.